GUAUUUAAAAGAGUAGUUAUUGUUGCAAACUCCAUUAGAAAUUUGAAUUGAUAUCAGUUUUGGAAAAAGGGAAACGGGGAUGUGAAAAAAAAGGGGGGGGUAAAUUUUUCUCGUUUUAGAUUUCAUAAAUAAAAAGAAAAUUUCUUCAAACAUUUUUUUGAGAGGAUUAAUAUUCAACAGCAUAGUGAAUUGCUCAAAGGCAAAAAAACCUUUUAAGUUCAUUAGACCACAUUCAUUCUGUGUCAGAAACCUAUGCUGUGUCAACUAUUUAAUUUUAGAUUUAAAAAGUUUGAAGAAGAAAUCUUUGAUUGAUUUGUAAAAUCUUGACAUUUGUUUUUGUAAAAAAAAAACCAUGUAAUGUCAAAAAUUUGAUCACAAUCCAAAUUCAGAGCUGUAUCACGCUUGAAUGUUUUGUCCAUACUUGCCCCAACUGUUCAGGGUUCGACCUCUGCGGUCGUAUAAAGCUGCGCCCUGCGGAGCACCUGGUUCUAGUUAACGGACAAUAACUUGUGUUUAAGUGUAUGGAUCUCACU
This 533-nucleotide long non-coding RNA is filed under the name Mytilus galloprovincialis (Mediterranean mussel). Lineage: Eukaryota; Metazoa; Mollusca; Bivalvia; Mytilida; Mytilidae. The record is from RNAcentral.